UACGUAGGUGGCAAGCGUUGUCCGGAUUUACUGGGUGUAAAGGGAGCGCAGGCGGGAAAGCAAGUCAGUGGUGAAAUGCAUGGGCUUAACCCAUGAACUGCCGUUGAAACUGUUUUUCUUGAGUGAAGUAGAGGCAAGCGGAAUUCCGAGUGUAGCGGUGAAAUGCGUAGAUAUUCGGAGGAACACCAGUGGCGAAGGCGGCUUGCUGGGCUUUAACUGACGCUGAGGCUCGAAAGUGUGGGGAGCAAAC
RNAcentral lists this ribosomal RNA (250 nucleotides) under uncultured prokaryote. RNAcentral's name for it is "partial 16S ribosomal RNA". It matches the Rfam family "Bacterial small subunit ribosomal RNA", at positions 524 to 773 of the family's 1533-position model. The record is from RNAcentral.